Molecule: ribosomal RNA, 245 nt
Filed under: uncultured bacterium
Lineage: Bacteria
Description: partial 16S ribosomal RNA
Rfam family: Bacterial small subunit ribosomal RNA
Source: RNAcentral
UACGUAGGGGGCGAGCGUUGUCCGGAAUUACUGGGCGUAAAGGGCGUGUAGGCGGUUGGAUAAGUCUGGUGUGAAAUUCUAGGGCUCAACCCUGGAGCUGCGCCGGAAACUGUUUGACUGGAGUUCGGUAGGGGUGACUGGAAUCCCCGGUGUAACGGUGAAAUGUGUAGAUAUCGGGGGGAACACCUGUGGCGAAGGCGGGUCACUGGGCCGCAACUGACGCUGAGACGCGAAAGCGUGGGGAG